AUGACAAUCAAUCAGUCCCAAGUGUCAAUGGACAUCACUCCCGCAAUCUCAGCCCCAUACUCGCUGAAUUCAGCGCCAACACAACAAUGGUUGCGGGCAAGGGGGGAUCAAGAGACCCCUCUCCGCACCCCCAAGCUGCUCCUGGUACUUCUGCUUCAAAGCCUGCCCCAUAGUGGCUUCUGGCUGCCCCGGGAGCGAUUUAUUCGAGCAGCGAGGUGCGCUCGCACCGAGGGAAGCGUGCAAUCCCCCUCCCGUCCCCGCGCUUCGCCCUUCCAGCACUCAGCACACCACCAUUUUUCCUCAAACAAAGCUGAAGAAAACCCGAACUUGGGCGACAAUAACGGCGAACGGGGAACUUCCCAGGGGAGGGUGAGGGCAGCGGGUGAAACCCGGAGGCAGCUGCCGGGGCCGGGGCGCUGCAGGCGGUGGCAGCGCGCAAAGUAUUCCGGAGCCAAAGCAGACAAAAGAGGGUGUAGCAGCUGCACGGGAGCGGCAGCCCCGGCGUGCCGCCGGCUCCGCGCGGGAGGAACAAAGUCUAUUUCGGGGAGAAAAAAAAAAAAAAUCCCCCCCGUGUGCCUCACCUCCCCUGCCCGCUUGGGCCCCCCCCCGCCUCCCAGGGCUCCGGGCGCGCCUCCAAGACCCCCCCGCGCCAGAGCUCGGCCGGGAGCCCGCACCCCGCGGAGACACCGGAGCUUCAAGUUUGGGGGCGCGGGGCACCCCUCGCACCCCCCAGCGCUUACCUGCGGGGAGGAGCCGGGCGUCCGCCGCUCUCACGGCGGGGAGCGCUGCGGGGCUGCGCGGCGCGGGGAGGAGGACAUGGGGCCGCUCCGGCGAGGCGGCGGCUGGAUCGGGCUCAGGCGGCGGCUCCCCUCGCCCGUCCCCAUCCGCGGCGAGGCUCGGGCGGGGGCAGGCGGGCGGCGGGGCGGUCACUGCCGCCCGGAGAAGGACGCCCGCCGACCUGGGGCUGCGCGCCCCCCCGCCGCCGCCGCGCGGACAGCCAGAGGCGGCCGCCUGCCGCUCGCCCCGCGGAGACGCGCGGGUGCCAUAGCAGCGGGGCCGGGGGCAGGGGCGUGGGCGGGCGGCGGCCACAAGAAAGUUUGCCGGCCCCGCGGCGAGGUGCUCGGCCGCCCCGCGCUAGUCCUCGCCGCAAAGUUUCACUCCGAGAGCCGCCGGCUGCGGGUCCGACUCCUCGGGGACGGCCCCUCCAUCACCCACCGCUCCUCACGGGACGAGGAGGAGGAAAGAAGGGGAAGGCAGCACGCGGCGGGACGGCAGCGGGGCCGGGGCACAGCUUUUCCUUCUCCCCACGGAACACCGCAAGCACCCCUUAGGGAGCCAGCUCCCCUCUGCCGCCCGCCCCGCCGGGCGCGGGCUUUGUAG
RNAcentral lists this long non-coding RNA (1380 nucleotides) under Numida meleagris (helmeted guineafowl). RNAcentral describes it as "lncRNA (ENSNMEG00000022073.1)". Lineage: Eukaryota; Metazoa; Chordata; Aves; Galliformes; Numididae. The record is from RNAcentral.